RNAcentral lists this long non-coding RNA (250 nucleotides) under Capsicum annuum. RNAcentral's name for it is "long non-coding RNA (CANN_LNC017574)". Lineage: Eukaryota; Viridiplantae; Streptophyta; Magnoliopsida; Solanales; Solanaceae. The record is from RNAcentral.
UUGUCCACAAUAAUCAUAAGCUUAUUCAAAAGGUUGAUAGGUUUAGCUUGGAUAUAUACUACCUGCAAAUAGAGUUGAAUACAAAUUUUGUUGCAUGUAAUGCCCAUCAACUUAGUUAUGGGUGGUUUGAGACUGAAAGAAUUCUAAAGAGCCAACUUAAGAAGAUAAAAGUGAAGAAGUCUGAAAUUGCUCAUGCUCUUAUGGAUAGUGUCACUCUUAAGGAGAGCAUACUAGAUUUAUAUGGGGGGCG